GAUAGUCAAGCAAUCUAUCAGUUUUGACUGCUGGAAUAUAAACGACUGCAACAAUGUACCGUAAAUCUAUACGGAUGCUCUUCGACUGCUUGUCGAAGUCCUUUUUGCCCCAGCCGAUAGGUCUCUAGAUGUUAUAGAGAACCCCGAACAACCCAAACUGUUAAUCUUCAAUACCGCUUUGUACUUACGAUCUUAUAUCCAUUGACUGUCUUGUUAGAUUAAUCCAAUAAAUUUCAUUCACUCCGCAUACUCAAUCCUAUAGACACCCUUUUAAUCCUUCAAUCACAGACGUAACUCGAUUUCACAAAACAGUCAAGAGUAUUCAAACCCACUUCAUUAAAAAUCCCGAUUCAUCAUUACAAUACUGACUUCUGCAGUGAUUGCCUCA
Molecule: long non-coding RNA, 388 nt
Filed under: Physcomitrium patens
Lineage: Eukaryota; Viridiplantae; Streptophyta; Bryopsida; Funariales; Funariaceae
Description: long non-coding RNA (PPAT_LNC007454)
Source: RNAcentral